Molecule: non-coding RNA, 176 nt
Filed under: chicken gut metagenome
Description: malK-I RNA
Rfam family: malK-I RNA
Source: RNAcentral
CCAUGGGUACUCCACUGAAUACCUUUGGCAGGUGAAAAAAAGGAGGAAAAGCACCAUCCGCCUGACUAGCGGUGCGGCAGUGUGGAGACCUGUCGUAACGCGGCGCCUGCCAGCGCGCAGGGCCGUGAGAUCACAGCUUGCGGAGGCACUGUGGUCAUAGUCGUAAACGCAUGGCA